Molecule: ribosomal RNA, 1586 nt
Filed under: marine metagenome
Description: bacterial LSU rRNA
Rfam family: Bacterial large subunit ribosomal RNA
Source: RNAcentral
GUAGCAGACGCUUUGUCCUCUUAAAUACGGGAGCAAGGCAGUGUAAGAAGUAGCGAAGCGUUUUGUAUGCCUUGGGCGCAGCUGUCGGAAGACCCUGUACAGGCUCCAAAAGUGAAUAUGCUGGCAUGAGUAACGAAAAUCACGUACAUCCGUGAUCGCCGUAUGUUCAAGGGUUUCUACCGUUCUGGUAAUCAGCGUAGAGUUAUUUUCGGCCCCUAAGCACAUCCAAUCAAUAUGGAUUGUAAUGGAGGCAUGCAUGAUGGACGACACAGCUUGUGGCAAGUAGCAAACUGGAUAGAAACAGUGCGACAGAUGUGUCCAGGAAAAGCCAUGCAAUAAACGUCAGAACUGUGAUGAUUUCAUGUCGUUGAGAUUAUGAAUCCCAUCCGGUUCUGGUGUGAUACCGUACCCUAAACCGACACAGGUGAACGAGUCGAGUAGACUCAGGCGAUGAGACAACCACAUUGAAGGAACUCGGCAAACUAUUCCCGUACCUUCGGAACAAGGGAAACCGAUUUGGUGACACAAAAAUGGGGGUGACGACUUUUUACUAAAAAAUUAGGACUCUGCAAAAUGGUAACAUGCUGUAUAGGGUCUGACGUCUGCCCGGUGCUAGAAGUCUAAAAGGCGCAUUGCAAGAUGCAAAUGGAAAGCCUAGUAAACGGCGGUUGUAACUAUAACAAUCAUAAAGUAGCGAAAUUCAUUGCCAGCUAAUUCCUGGCCUGCAUGAAAGACGUAACGAUUGCCCCACUGUCUCCAGUAUGGACUCAGUGAAAUUGAAUUCUCCGUGCAGAUGCGGAGUACGUGCCCCAAGACGAGAAGACCCUGUGCAUCUUUACUGUACAUUUGCAUUGACAAAACGAUGAGCAUGCGUAGGAUAGGUGGGAGUACAUACAUCCUUGAAAUACCACCCUUGCCAUGGGUUUUGUCUUACACCAAAUUUGGUGCACAAUGCAUGUGAGGCAGUUUGACUGGGGCGGUCGCCUCCUAAAAGGUAACGGAGGCGUGCGAAGGUAAACUCAAUGCAAGACGGAAACUUGCUGAAGAGCGUAAUGGUAUAUGUUUGCCUGACUGUAAGAUGUACACAUCAAACAGAGACGAAAGUCGGCCAUAAUGAUCCACAAGUGCCGUGUGGAAGGGCUUGUGCUUAACGAAUCAAAGAUACGCCAGGGAUAACAGGCUGAUAAUUCCCAAGAGUCCUUAUCGACGGAAUUGUUUGGCACCUCGAUGUUGACUGAUCAUAUCCUGGGGCUGAAGAAGGUCCCAAGGGUUCGGCUGUUCGCCGAAUAAAAUGGUACCUGAGUUGAGUUUAGAACGUCGUGAGACAGUUUGGAUUCUACCUGGGGUGCGCGUAAAAGAAUUGUGAAAACCACGUCCUUGUACGAGAGGACCGGACGUGUACAACCACUGGUCGAGUAAUUGUUUUGCCGAAAGCAUUGUUACCAGGCUACGUUGUGAAAGGAAAAGAACUGAAAGCAUCUCAAGUUCGAAACUUUUUUCGAGACAAAUUCUUUAAGAUGUCGUGAAAGACUAUCACGUUAAUAGCCGAGCUGUCUAUACCAUGAAAAUGAGUAAUGCAUGCUCGG